GGAAGCAGCUUGCUGCUUCGCUGACGAGUGGCGGACGGGUGAGUAAUGUCUGGGAAACUGCCUGAUGGAGGGGGAUAACUACUGGAAACGGUGGCUAAUACCGCAUAACGUCGCAAGACCAAAGAGGGGGACCUUCGGGCCUCUUGCCAUCAGAUGUGCCCAGAUGGGAUUAGCUUGUUGGUGAGGUAACGGCUCACCAAGGCGACGAUCCCUAGCUGGUCUGAGAGGAUGACCAGCCACACUGGAACUGAGACACGGUCCAGACUCCUACGGGAGGCAGCAGUGGGGAAUAUUGCACAAUGGGCGCAAGCCUGAUGCAGCCAUGCCGCGUGUAUGAAGAAGGCCUUCGGGUUGUAAAGUACUUUCAGCGGGGAGGAAGGUGUUGUGGUUAAUAACCGCAGCAAUUGACGUUACCCGCAGAAGAAGCACCGGCUAACUCCGUGCCAGCAGCCGCGGUAAUACGGAGGGUGCAAGCGUUAAUCGGAAUUACUGGGCGUAAAGCGCACGCAGGCGGUCUGUCAAGUCGGAUGUGAAAUCCCCGGGCUCAACCUGGGAACUGCAUUCGAAACUGGCAGGCUUGAGUCUUGUAGAGGGGGGUAGAAUUCCAGGUGUAGCGGUGAAAUGCGUAGAGAUCUGGAGGAAUACCGGUGGCGAAGGCGGCCCCCUGGACAAAGACUGACGCUCAGGUGCGAAAGCGUGGGGAGCAAACAGGAUUAGAUACCCUGGUAGUCCACGCCGUAAACGAUGUCUACUUGGAGGUUGUGCCCUUGAGGCGUGGCUUCCGGAGCUAACGCGUUAAGUAGACCGCCUGGGGAGUACGGCCGCAAGGUUAAAACUCAAAUGAAUUGACGGGGGCCCGCACAAGCGGUGGAGCAUGUGGUUUAAUUCGAUGCAACGCGAAGAACCUUACCUGGUCUUGACAUCCACAGAAGAAUCCAGAGAUGGAUUUGUGCCUUCGGGAACUGUGAGACAGGUGCUGCAUGGCUGUCGUCAGCUCGUGUUGUGAAAUGUUGGGUUAAGUCCCGCAACGAGCGCAACCCUUAUCCUUUGUUGCCAGCGGUUAGGCCGGGAACUCAAAGGAGACUGCCAGUGAUAAACUGGAGGAAGGUGGGGAUGACGUCAAGUCAUCAUGGCCCUUACGACCAGGGCUACACACGUGCUACAAUGGCGCAUACAAAGAGAAGCGACCUCGCGAGAGCAAGCGGACCUCAUAAAGUGCGUCGUAGUCCGGAUUGGAGUCUGCAACUCGACUCCAUGAAGUCGGAAUCGCUAGUAAUCGUGGAUCAGAAUGCCACGGUGAAUACGUUCCCGGGCCUUGUACACACCGCCCGUCACACCAUGGGAGUGGGUUGCAAAAGAAGUAGGUAGCUUAACCUUCGGGAGGGCGCUUACCACUUUGUGAUUCAUGACUGGGGUGAAGUCGUAACAAGGUAACCGUAGGGGAACCUGCGGUUGGAUCACCUCCUUACCUUAAAGAA
RNAcentral lists this ribosomal RNA (1478 nucleotides) under Salmonella enterica subsp. enterica serovar Enteritidis. RNAcentral's name for it is "bacterial SSU rRNA". It matches the Rfam family "Bacterial small subunit ribosomal RNA". The record is from RNAcentral. Lineage: Bacteria; Pseudomonadati; Pseudomonadota; Gammaproteobacteria; Enterobacterales; Enterobacteriaceae.